AAGAAUUAAAUGGAUGAAAUAUGAAGUUUUAUUAAAAGAAAAAGAGGUGAAAAGAACAAAGUUUUGUUCAUCUUUGUUCAUCAUAGCUGAAAGUUAGAGAAGAGAAAGGAGAGGAGAAAGCUCUUGAGUAUUUGGUCAUUAGGAGGAGGAAAAUUGAAGGCGGUUCGUGUGUGGAUCUUGUCAGCAUAUCGUCGCAAACAGGAAAUCCCCAACCAUAGUGGGCUUGGAGCUGUGAGGGAAUUCGGAGUGGC
Molecule: long non-coding RNA, 251 nt
Organism: Gossypium arboreum
Lineage: Eukaryota; Viridiplantae; Streptophyta; Magnoliopsida; Malvales; Malvaceae
Exons: 3
Source: RefSeq, a predicted model, not a curated record